AUGGUCGGGGAGGUCCUCCGUGUAGAGGCCACUUGUCUGACCGUCGUAGUAUCUCUCGAGGAGCGACGCAUUAGUCGGGUGGCGGAAGGACACGUUGUUCAUGGUGGCCACCACGAUGGUCUCGGGACUCCGCCCACGCUCGCAUGUCUUGUUGGUGCCGCGGCAGAUGGAGCCGAGGCCGAGCGCGAAGAAGAGGCGCUCGUCGACGUGCAUGGGAACGCGGUGGCGGUCUGGGUGGGCGAGGCCGGUGAGGUUGCUGUGGAAGUAGUAGGACGGCAUGGUGUUGUGCUGGCUGGGCAUGAGCGGCGUCGGCACCGGCAGCCCGUUGUUGUUGUGGGAGGAUCCGGCGUAGCGGACGAGGCCGCGAGACACGAACCCCGGGAUCUGUGGGUCAGGCUCCGGCGGCUGGUUUGCGAGCGCCACCAUAUGGUAGUGCGCAGGCGGGGCAUCAGCGGCCAUGAGCACGUCGAUGGCCUCCCCUGGCGCGACGGUCACCAUGUCCGUCUUGUACGGCGUCAGGUAGUACCCGUCGGCGCCCACUACCGUGAAUGUGUGCCCAGCAACCUUGAAGUAGUACUCCGAGAAGAGCGCCGUGUUCACAAUCCGCAGCAGGUACGUCUUUCCACGCACCACGUCAAGGACGAAGCUCUCCUCCGGCUUGCCAGAGCAGUUGCUCAGGUCGCCCAGCUUACCGUUGAUGGUUGCCGACAGCGGGUUGUCGUCGAAGUUACCGUCAUGCAUCCUCCGGUCGAGCUCGACGAGGUCAAGCUCCCACCACUCGCCGAUGAUGAUGGGCACGUCCUUGGCGGGCGUCGGGAACGGGUACCUUCCGCCCUUGGGGCGGAUGAUGAAGGCGCCAGCCACGGUGGCGCGGAGGCAGGUGACGUGGGCGUGCCACCAAAGCGUACCGACCUGACCGGUGACGUUGAAGCGGUACACAUGCUCGCCGCCAGGAGGGAUGGGGCAUUCGGUGACGAAGCCGGCGCCAUCGGACCAGCAGCUCCUCAUCUGCCGGAUGCCGUGCCAGUGGAUGGUGAGCCCGUGAGGGAGACGGUUGAUGACGUGGACGACAACCGUGUCACCGUCGGUGAUGUCGAUGGUGGGGCCUGGGAGCUGCCCGUUCACCACGUAAAUCUUGGUCGUGUUGCACAGGUGCGUCUGGUUCAUCUCGUGCACCUGAACAUCAUCAUUAAUCAAAUACGUAACUGA
This 1209-nucleotide ribosomal RNA is filed under the name Triticum aestivum (bread wheat). RNAcentral describes it as "partial small subunit ribosomal RNA". The record is from RNAcentral. Lineage: Eukaryota; Viridiplantae; Streptophyta; Magnoliopsida; Poales; Poaceae.